UGACCACCUCGGACAUUGCUUUUG
RNAcentral lists this microRNA (24 nucleotides) under Taeniopygia guttata (zebra finch). Its description in RNAcentral is "Tgu-Mir-1720_5p* (star (passenger))". Lineage: Eukaryota; Metazoa; Chordata; Aves; Passeriformes; Estrildidae. The record is from RNAcentral.